Molecule: long non-coding RNA, 615 nt
Organism: Cavia porcellus (domestic guinea pig)
Lineage: Eukaryota; Metazoa; Chordata; Mammalia; Rodentia; Caviidae
Exons: 2
Source: RefSeq, a predicted model, not a curated record
AACCAGUCGCAUUUAGAGAUCUACAACUGGGAUGCUCAGAGCUGUAAAUACCUCAACAGAGAGACGGCUGCAAAAUCACCCUGUUACUGAACCCAAGCUCAGCCUGCAUCGUGAUUGGACAGCUGUCACACUCUGGAAUUCCCCAUUCUCCAAAAAUGACCUAUUCUCACAUGAUCACUGCUAAGCGGCCCCAUAGCUGUGGCACUAUUACCCAGAGGUGUCCCCCACCCUGUGAAAGAAAUCAAGCAGAGCAGCAAGGAGGAACCGAGCUGUACACUUCGGCUGCUGGACUGAUUCUAAUUCUGCAAUGAACAGGAGUGAGAUUACCGUGGCAGGCUGCCCUCUGCCACCCUUGGCCUGCAGGCAUUCUGCGAGGAGAUCUGGCGCUGUGCAACUUCUGGGUCUUCCACAAAGUCAAAAUGACCACGAAAAGGAAAUGCUUUGAAUCAAUUUGAGGCAUCGAGGCAGCUGUGACAGCAUCAUUAAAGACCCUCAGGAAAGAGGACUCCAGAAGGGCUACAGAAAGCGGUGAUAACUCGGGAUGAGUGCGUUGGAAGGGAGGGGAGGACUCCUGGCAAUGGGUCUUUGCUGUAAUAAAAGAUGCAUUCAUGGUUA